AUUGGAUCGGUGAUGCUCUAAUGAAGAAACUGCGUUAUCUAUCUGAAAUCUCCAGUUCGGAGCUGAGGAUAGCUUUUAUAACUUUCUGAGAUCCUUC
Small nucleolar RNA from Andrographis paniculata, 97 nucleotides. RefSeq annotates it as small nucleolar RNA snoR27. Lineage: Eukaryota; Viridiplantae; Streptophyta; Magnoliopsida; Lamiales; Acanthaceae. The record is from RefSeq and is a predicted model, not a curated record. The transcript has a single exon.